CUUGUUCAAAUAGGGAGGCAUAUAGUUCAUAAUUUUGUGUAGUUUCUUUUAAAAUUGGUAUUGAUUCUACCAUUGGCAACGACAAAUGUUGAGAGAUCAUUUUCUAGCAUGAUUUUAGUCAAGAGCAAGUUGAGAAAUAAGAUGGUUGAUAAUCUUUUGGAUGAUUGCUUAGUCACAUACAUUGAGAGGUAUGUUUUCUUCGAGGUAAAUGAAGAUGAUAUUAUUUAUACUUUCAUGCAAGGCAAAAGGUAG
Molecule: ribosomal RNA, 252 nt
Filed under: Triticum aestivum (bread wheat)
Lineage: Eukaryota; Viridiplantae; Streptophyta; Magnoliopsida; Poales; Poaceae
Description: partial small subunit ribosomal RNA
Source: RNAcentral